AACGAACGCUGGCGGCAUGCCUAACACAUGCAAGUCGAACGAGACCUUCGGGUGUAGUGGCGCACGGGUGCGUAACGCGUGGGAACCUGCCCUUAGGUUCGGAAUAACUCCCCGAAAGGGGUGCUAAUACCGGAUAAUGUCCUCGGACCAAAGAUUUAUCGCCUUUGGAUGGGCCCGCGUUGGAUUAGCUAGUUGGUAGGGUAAAAGCCUACCAAGGCGACGAUCCAUAGCUGGUCUGAGAGGAUGAUCAGCCACACUGGGACUGAGACACGGCCCAGACUCCUAGGGGAGGCAGCAGUGGGGGAUAUUGGACAAUGGGCGAAAGCCUGAUCCAGCAAUGCCGGGUGAGUGAUGAAGGCCUUAGGGUUGUAAAGCUCUUUUACCCGGGAUGAUAAUGACAGUACCGGGAGAAUAAGCUCCGGCUAACUCCGUG
RNAcentral lists this ribosomal RNA (433 nucleotides) under uncultured bacterium. RNAcentral describes it as "partial 16S ribosomal RNA". It matches the Rfam family "Bacterial small subunit ribosomal RNA", at positions 29 to 507 of the family's 1533-position model. The record is from RNAcentral.